GGGGGUGUAGCUCAGGUGGUAGAGCAUCUGCCUUUUAAGCAGGUGGUCGGCAGUUCGAGUCUGCCCACCCUCACCA
RNAcentral lists this transfer RNA (76 nucleotides) under Candidatus Zixiibacteriota bacterium. RNAcentral's name for it is "tRNA-Lys". It matches the Rfam family "tRNA". Rfam says of the family: Transfer RNA (tRNA) molecules are approximately 80 nucleotides in length. Lineage: Bacteria; Pseudomonadati; Candidatus Zixiibacteriota. The record is from RNAcentral.